Molecule: long non-coding RNA, 307 nt
Filed under: Olea europaea (common olive)
Lineage: Eukaryota; Viridiplantae; Streptophyta; Magnoliopsida; Lamiales; Oleaceae
Description: long non-coding RNA (OEUR_LNC006597)
Source: RNAcentral
UGGAAUUGAAGGAAAGAACAUUGUUUUUGGAAUUAAAUCGAGGAGAUUUAGCAAUGGCUCAGAGUGUGUUCGACGAAAUGCCAGAGAAGGAGGUGAUAUCUUGGAAUGCAAUGGUUUCAUCAAUACACCAUCCCCUUUGGAGCACCUCGUCUCUCUCUACAUCUCUGUCUUUCUCUGUCCAGAAACACAUUCUAAAUUCUCAACUAUUCAAUUUGUUUAGCAAUAUAUAUACUCCUUUUAUCAAUUUGCUAAAAGGUAAAAGCUAAAUUUCUGUCCAGAUCAUAACUUUAGCAAUUGCUCAAAGUGU